Molecule: small nuclear RNA, 110 nt
Organism: Rattus norvegicus (Norway rat)
Lineage: Eukaryota; Metazoa; Chordata; Mammalia; Rodentia; Muridae
Source: Ensembl
GCCUGCUUCGGCUGCACAUGUACUAAAGUGGUACAGAUACAGAGAAGACUAGCAUGGCACUCUGCAUGAAGGUGACACUCAGGUUCAUAAAGCAACAAGAGAAAAUAUUU